GUCACUUCCAGGCAGGGCCUCGAGGAAGUAGGUGAGCUUCUCCAUCCCUGUCUGUCUAGAUGCAGAGAACCCAAAGCCCUGCAGGAUGGCAAAGCUGCAACAUGGAAGUCACCCGGAUCACCACGUAAAGGAAAUCUCUCCAACCAGGAACAAAUACCUGCCUUGCAAUAUUAGGUGGCCACCAGACUUUCUCUGCUUGUAUCCUCCCAGGACCACAGAACUCAUCGCAUCCCAAGGCAGCCUAUUCCAUCAUGGAUGAGCUCAAAGUGUUUGAAAGUUCUGCUUUAUCAAGUGAGCCAAACUUCCUCCCUCAGGACCA
This 319-nucleotide long non-coding RNA is filed under the name Pan troglodytes (chimpanzee). RNAcentral describes it as "long non-coding RNA NONPTRT009258". The record is from RNAcentral. Lineage: Eukaryota; Metazoa; Chordata; Mammalia; Primates; Hominidae.